RNAcentral lists this ribosomal RNA (494 nucleotides) under uncultured marine bacterium. Its description in RNAcentral is "bacterial SSU rRNA". It matches the Rfam family "Bacterial small subunit ribosomal RNA", at positions 8 to 493 of the family's 1533-position model. The record is from RNAcentral.
AGAGUUUGAUCCUGGCUCAGAUUGAACGCUGGCGGUAUGCUUAACACAUGCAAGUCGAACGGAAACGAUACUAGCUUGCUAGUAGGCGUCGAGUGGCGGACGGGUGAGUAACGCGUAGGAAUCUGCCUGAUAGUGGGGGAUAGCCCGAAGAAAUUCGGAUUAAUACCGCAUAAUCUAUUCGUAGUAAAGUGGGGGACUUUCGAGCCUCACGCUAUCAGAUGAGCCUGCGUAAGAUUAGCUUGUUGGUGGGGUAAAAGCCCACCAAGGCGACGAUCUUUAGCUGGUCUGAGAGGAUGAUCAGCCACAUCGGGACUGAGACACGGCCCGAACUCCUACGGGAGGCAGCAGUGGGGAAUAUUGGACAAUGGGGGCAACCCUGAUCCAGCAAUACCGCGUGUGUGAAGAAGGCCUGAGGGUUGUAAAGCACUUUCAAUUGUGAAGAAAAGUUAGCGGUUAAUAACCGUUAGCCUUGACGUUAACUUUAGAAGAAGCAC